GUAUAUAUCUUAAAUGCGCUAUAGACAGUUGGUGUCGUAAAGACCUAAGGGUGCAGCACCGCCAACCGAGGCCUCAUAAAACUUUGUGUGUUUUCUAUUGAAAACGGCAGGCCUCUGGUUGAAACAGAGGCUUUUUCAUUCAGCUA
Non-coding RNA from Desulfotomaculum sp. 46_80, 146 nucleotides. NCBI's taxonomy places the organism in Bacteria, Bacillati, Bacillota, Clostridia, Eubacteriales, Desulfotomaculaceae. The record is from Rfam.